UUGGGUAUAGGGGCGAAA
This 18-nucleotide unclassified non-coding RNA is filed under the name Chlamydomonas reinhardtii. RNAcentral describes it as "small RNA Cre_4012". Lineage: Eukaryota; Viridiplantae; Chlorophyta; Chlorophyceae; Chlamydomonadales; Chlamydomonadaceae. The record is from RNAcentral.